RNAcentral lists this ribosomal RNA (273 nucleotides) under uncultured bacterium. RNAcentral's name for it is "partial 16S ribosomal RNA". It matches the Rfam family "Bacterial small subunit ribosomal RNA", at positions 524 to 796 of the family's 1533-position model. The record is from RNAcentral.
UACGUAGGGGGCGAGCGUUGUCCGGAUUCAUUGGGCGUAAAGCGCGCGUAGGCGGCCUGGCAAGUCGGCCGUGAAAUCUCCGGGCUCAACUCGGAGGGGUCGGGCGAGACUGCGGGGCUCGAGGUGGGCAGAGGGCAGUGGAAUUCCGGGUGUAGUGGUGGAAUGCGUAGAGAUCCGGAGGAACACCAGUGGCGAAGGCGGCGGCCUGGGCCUGGCCUGACGCUGAGGCGCGAAAGCGUGGGGAGCGAUCCGGAUUAGAAACCCCAGUAGUCC